Molecule: ribosomal RNA, 253 nt
Filed under: uncultured bacterium
Lineage: Bacteria
Description: partial 16S ribosomal RNA
Rfam family: Bacterial small subunit ribosomal RNA
Source: RNAcentral
UACAGGGGUGGCAGGCGUUGUUCGGAAUUACUGGGCGUAAAGGGCGCGUAGGCGGUCUUUUAAGUCUCGUGUGAAAUCCCUCGGCUCAACUGAGGAACUGCACGGGAUACUGGAUGACUUGAGUUCGGGAGAGGGAAGCGGAAUUCCGGGUGUAGCGGUGAAAUGCGUAGAUAUCCGGAGGAACACCGGUGGCGAAGGCGGCUUCCUGGACCGACACUGACGCUGAGGCGCGAAAGCUAGGGGAGCAAACGGG